UCGCGAAAACUUCACAAUGGGGGCAACCCCGAUGAGGGAAUUCCUAGUGCUAGCACAUUUGUGUUAGCUUUUCUUUAGCUUAGAAAACUAGAGGAAUAAGGGCUGGGUAAGACGGGUGCCAGCCGCCGCGGUAAUACCUGCAGCCCAAGUGGUGGUCGAUUUUAUUGAGUCUAAAACGUUCGUAGCCGGUUCGGUAAAUCUUUGGGUAAAUCGGGGGGCUUAACCUUCCGACUUCCGAGGAGACUGCCGAACUUGGGACCGGGAGAGGCUAGAGGUACUUCUGGGGUAGGGGUAAAAUCCUGUAAUCCUAGAAGGACCACCGGUGGCGAAGGCGUCUAGCUAGAACGGAUCCGACGGUGAGGGACGAAGCCCUGGGUCGCAAACGGGAUUAGAUACCCCGGUAGUCCAGGGUGUAAACGCUGCAGACUUGGUGUUGGAGGCCCUUUGGGGGCAUUCAGUGCCGGAGAGAAGUUGUUAAGUCUGCUACUUGGGGAGUACGUCCGCAAGGAUGAAACUUAAAGGAAUUGGCGGGGGAGCACCGCAGCGGGAGGAGCGUGCGGUUUAAUUGGAUUCAACACCGUAAAACUCACCAGGGAAGACUGUUACACGAAGGCCGGGCUAAAGACUCUGCCAGAUUUUCA
Molecule: ribosomal RNA, 641 nt
Filed under: uncultured euryarchaeote
Lineage: Archaea; Methanobacteriati; Methanobacteriota
Description: bacterial SSU rRNA
Rfam family: Archaeal small subunit ribosomal RNA
Source: RNAcentral